RNAcentral lists this ribosomal RNA (538 nucleotides) under Colletotrichum karsti. RNAcentral's name for it is "eukaryotic LSU rRNA". The stretch from base 172 to 325 matches the Rfam family "5.8S ribosomal RNA". The record is from RNAcentral. Lineage: Eukaryota; Fungi; Ascomycota; Sordariomycetes; Glomerellales; Glomerellaceae.
CCCUUUGUGACAUACCUACAACUGUUGCUUCGGCGGGUAGGCCGUCCCCUGAAAAGGACGCCUCCCGGCCCGGACCGGACCCCCCGCGGGACCGGACCCGGCGCCCGCCGGAGGAUAACCAAACUCUAUUGUAACGACGUUUCUUCUGAGUGGCAUAAGCAAAAUAAUCAAAACUUUUAACAACGGAUCUCUUGGUUCUGGCAUCGAUGAAGAACGCAGCGAAAUGCGAUAAGUAAUGUGAAUUGCAGAAUUCAGUGAAUCAUCGAAUCUUUGAACGCACAUUGCGCCCGCCAGCAUUCUGGCGGGCAUGCCUGUUCGAGCGUCAUUUCAACCCUCAAGCUCUGCUUGGUGUUGGGGCUCUACGGUCGACGUAGGCCCUCAAAGGUAGUGGCGGACCCUCCCGGAGCCUCCUUUGCGUAGUAACAUUUCGUCUCGCACUGGGAUCCGGAGGGACUCUUGCCGUAAAACCCCCCAAUUUUCCAAAGGUUGACCUCGGAUCAGGUAGGAAUACCCGCUGAACUUAAGCAUAUCAAUAAGC